UCCCUGUUGGUCUAGUGGUUAGGACUCUGCACUUUCACUGCCAAGAGCCUGGGUUCAAUCCCUGGUUGGGGAA
Molecule: transfer RNA, 73 nt
Filed under: Bos taurus (domestic cattle)
Lineage: Eukaryota; Metazoa; Chordata; Mammalia; Artiodactyla; Bovidae
Also listed under: 5 other names
Rfam family: tRNA
About the family: Transfer RNA (tRNA) molecules are approximately 80 nucleotides in length.
Source: Rfam by way of RNAcentral